UAGGGAAUCUUCGGCAAUGGGGGGAACCCUGACCGAGCAACGCCGCGUGAGUGAAGAAGGUUUUCGGAUCGUAAAGCUCUGUUGUUAAGGAAGAACGAGUGUGAGAAUGGAAAGUUCAUGCUGUGACGGUACUUAACCAGAAAGGGACGGCUAACUACGUGCCAGCAGCCGCGGUAAUACGUAGGUCCCGAGCGUUGUCCGGAUUUAUUGGGCGUAAAGCGAGCGCAGGCGGUUAGAAAAGUCUGAAGUGAAAGGCAGUGGCUCAACCAUUGUAGGCUUUGGAAACUGUUUAACUUGAGUGCAGAAGGGGAGGGUGGAAUUCCAUGUGUAGCGGUGAAAUGCGUAGAUAUAUGGAGGAACACCGGUGGCGAAAGCGGCUCUCUGGUCUGUAACUGACGCUGAGGCUCGAAAGCGUGGGGAGCAAACAGG
Molecule: ribosomal RNA, 429 nt
Filed under: Bacteroidota bacterium
Lineage: Bacteria; Pseudomonadati; Bacteroidota
Description: Bacteroidetes bacterium partial 16S ribosomal RNA
Rfam family: Bacterial small subunit ribosomal RNA
Source: RNAcentral